This 684-nucleotide ribosomal RNA is filed under the name Oreochromis aureus. Its description in RNAcentral is "partial 12S ribosomal RNA". It matches the Rfam family "Bacterial small subunit ribosomal RNA", at positions 23 to 1211 of the family's 1533-position model. The record is from RNAcentral. Lineage: Eukaryota; Metazoa; Chordata; Actinopteri; Cichliformes; Cichlidae.
UUUACUGUCAGCUUUGGCUAAACUUACACAUGCAAGUCUCCGCCCCCCUGUGAGAAUGCCCACAGUUUUCUGCCCGAAAACAAGGAGCCGGUAUCAGGCACACUCCCCGCAGCCCAUGACACCUUGCUUAGCCACACCCUCAAGGGAACUCAGCAGUGAUAGACAUUAAGCCAUAAGUGAAAACUUGACUUAGUUAAAGCCAAGAGGGCCGGUAAAACUCGUGCCAGCCACCGCGGUUAUACGAGAGGCUCAAGUUGACAGACAUCGGCGUAAAGAGUGGUUAGGAAGUUUUUGAAACUAAAGCCGAACGCCCUCAGAACUGUUAUACGUACCCGAGGGUAAGAAGCCCCACUACGAAAGUGGCUUUAUAUCUCCGACCCCACGAAAGCUGCGAAACAAACUGGGAUUAGAUACCCCACUAUGCCCAGCCCUAAACUUUGAUAGCCCACUACACCCGCUAUCCGCCCGGGUACUACGAGCACUAGCUUAAAACCCAAAGGACUUGGCGGUGCUUUAGAUCCACCUAGAGGAGCCUGUUCUAGAACCGAUAACCCCCGUUAAACCUCACCCUCUCUUGUUCUUCCCGCCUAUAUACCGCCGUCGUCAGCUUACCCUGUGAAGGAACCACAGUAAGCAGAACUAGUACAACUCAAAACGCCAGGUCGAGGUGUAGCAUAUGAGAGG